GAUGAACGCUGGCGGCGUGCCUAAUACAUGCAAGUCGAGCGAACAGACGAGGAGCUUGCUCCUCUGACGUUAGCGGCGGACGGGUGAGUAACACGUGGAUAACCUACCUAUAAGACUGGGAUAACUUCGGGAAACCGGAGCUAAUACCGGAUAAUAUAUUGAACCGCAUGGUUCAAUAGUGAAAGACGGUUUUGCUGUCACUUAUAGAUGGAUCCGCGCCGCAUUAGCUAGUUGGUAAGGUAACGGCUUACCAAGGCGACGAUGCGUAGCCGACCUGAGAGGGUGAUCGGCCACACUGGAGCUUAGACACGGUCCAGACUCCUACGGGAGGCAGCAGUAGGGAAUCUGCCGCAAUGGGCGGAAGCCUGACGCAGCAACGCCGCGUGAGUGAUGAAGGUCUUCGGAGCGUAAAACUCUGUUAUUAGGGAAGAACAAAUGUGUAAGUAACUAUGCACGUCUUGACGGUACCUAAUCAGAAAGCCACGGCUAACUACGUG
RNAcentral lists this ribosomal RNA (497 nucleotides) under uncultured bacterium. RNAcentral describes it as "partial 16S ribosomal RNA". It matches the Rfam family "Bacterial small subunit ribosomal RNA", at positions 28 to 507 of the family's 1533-position model. The record is from RNAcentral.